This 194-nucleotide microRNA precursor is filed under the name Oryza glumipatula. Its description in RNAcentral is "MIR812 microRNA precursor family". It matches the Rfam family "MIR812 microRNA precursor family". The record is from Rfam by way of RNAcentral. Lineage: Eukaryota; Viridiplantae; Streptophyta; Magnoliopsida; Poales; Poaceae.
UCUGAUUUCCGUGUCCAACGUUUGACUGUCCGUCUUAUUUAAAAAGAUUAUAAAAAAAAUUAAAAAGACAAGUCGCGUAUAAAAUAUUAAUCAUGUUUUAUCAUCUAACAACAAAUAAAAAUACGAAUUAUAAAAAAAUUUCAUAUAAGACGGACAGUAAAAAUUAGACAAAAAAAUUCAGGGUUUUACUUUUU